Molecule: long non-coding RNA, 997 nt
Filed under: Chinchilla lanigera (long-tailed chinchilla)
Lineage: Eukaryota; Metazoa; Chordata; Mammalia; Rodentia; Chinchillidae
Description: lncRNA (ENSCLAG00000028873.1)
Source: RNAcentral
AUGAAGCCCAGUGACCAGGAAGAACGCUCCCACCUCCACCUGCUGCUCCAUCCACAGCCACGGCCCACGUCCAGCUCCCAUGAUGGUAGCCUCAGCCCAGGACUAGGUCUGCAUCACUUCCCCAGUGCUGUGCUGCACCCAGGAGCGGUGGCUCAGCAGGUCCUUGUCCAGAGCUCACACGGUGGGCACGGAGAUGGGCGGCUCUGCUCUCGUUCGGGGAUGGGGGAAGACUCUGCUCCUUCAGGUACCUGCGAGUAUUGGCAGAGCCCAGUUCUGUGACUGUGGGCUGAGGUCCCGUCUCCCGACGUGUGGCCUCCUCCAUGUGCCCAGGCCCGCAGCGGCACUGUGGCCAAAGCUCGGAACCUCUCUGAUGGAGCCUUCUGCAGCAGCACUGCAGGACCCCAGCAUUCCCUGAGCCACAGAACAAGGAGCCUGUCUGUUGCAGGUCGGCUAUCAGACCGUCCGGCUAAGGUCCAUGGAUCCAGCAUCUCGUCUUCACGUGCAAAUCCUUCUGGCAGGGCUGGCACCACACAGGACCUGCCUGUGCCCCCAGGCUGAGCUGGCUUGAGGCUGGCAGACGCUGCCCCACCCAGCUCUGCUCAGGAACAGCCCAAGGCGUCCCUAUCCUCAUGCACCUGUGCCACCAUCUAUGCCAAGGUUCAGAGGUGGUCCUAGAUUGUCACAGGGCUGCUGUGAUCCCCAAAGGCCCAGGCAUCAAGGGCCCGGCUUUCAGGUGGUAGGUGGCGCCUCUAAGGAUCGGGGCCUGGGGAGGCCCUGGUGUCAGUGAGCCGUGUCCUCAAGGGGCCUGCGGGGCUCUGACCAUUCUCAUGAGGAUUAUAGCCACAGAGCUUGGCCCACCGGCUCCCCUCUGCUCUCUAAACUCUAACCCUCACUCCUGCUGCGAAAAGACCAGAGGCAGAGCAGAGGCGGCUACAUGAACUUGAACUUUAACCCUCCCAAACUAUGACCUAAAUAAAUCUGUUAUUUUCACAAGCAG